RNAcentral lists this ribosomal RNA (492 nucleotides) under uncultured bacterium. RNAcentral's name for it is "partial 16S ribosomal RNA". It matches the Rfam family "Bacterial small subunit ribosomal RNA", at positions 28 to 507 of the family's 1533-position model. The record is from RNAcentral.
GAUGAACGCUAGCUACAGGCUUAACACAUGCAAGUCGAGGGGAAACGGCAUCGAAAGCUUGCUUUUGAUGGGCGUCGACCGGCGCACGGGUGAGUAACGCGUAUCCAACCUGCCCAUCACUUGGGAAUAACCUUGCGAAAGUAAGACUAAUGCCCAAUGACAUCCCACGAAGGCAUCCGAAUGGGAUUAAAGAUUUAUCGGUGAUGGAUGGGGAUGCGUCUGAUUAGCUUGUUGGCGGGGUGACAGCCCACCAAGGCAACGAUCAGUAGGGGUUCUGAGAGGAAGGUCCCCCACAUUGGAACUGAGACACGGUCCAAACUCCUACGGGAGGCAGCAGUGAGGAAUAUUGGUCAAUGGGCGAGAGCCUGAACCAGCCAAGUAGCGUGCAGGAUGACGGCCCUAUGGGUUGUAAACUGCUUUUAUAAGGGAAUAAAGUGGGUCACGUGUGACUUUUUGCAUGUACCUUAUGAAUAAGGACCGGCUAAUUCCGUG